AUGCUUGAGGAGAUGUCUGCUCUCGACAAGAAUAAUACAUGGGUAAUUACUCCACUUCCUUGUAACAAGAAAGUGGUAGGUUGCAAAUGGGUGUUUACCAUAAAACAUACACCCGAAGGGAAAGUAGAUAGAUAUAAGGCGAGACUUGUGGCGAAAGGUUAUAGCCAGACAUAUGGAGUGGACUAUGAUGAAACCUUCGCCCCAGUUGCAAAGAUGAACACCAUCAGAGCUUUAAUCUCGGUGGCAGCAAAUAACAAGUGGAAGUUGUUUCAGCUAGAUGUGAAGAAUGCAUUUCUUCAUGGAGAUUUGAAAGAAGAAGUUUAUAUGGAGAUUCCACCAGGGUUCAGUGGGCCUGAGACAAUGGGUAAAGUGUGUAGAUUGAAGAAAUCACUUUAUGGACUUAAACAGUCACCAAGGGCUUGGUUUGGGAGAUUUCGCAAGGAAGUAUGCACUUUGGGUUUUCGACAAAGCAAUGCUGACCAUACCCUUUUCUUUAAGCACCACGGAAAUAAAACUGUCGUAUUGGUCGUAUAUGUUGAUGACAUUGUGAUCACAGGGAAUGAUGAUGUGGAGAUAAAGAACUUGAAGAAAAUGUUGGCGAAAUCAUUUGAAGUCAAAGACCUUGGCUUCCUCCACUUCUUCCUGGGAAUAGAAGUAGCUUAUGGAGCUCAAGCCAAUUCAGGAGAACCUGUUGAUAGGGGGAGAUACCAGAGACUUGUGGGACGUUUAAUUUAUCUAUCCCAUACUAGACCAGACAUUGCAUAUGCCGUGAGCCUGGUGAGUAGAUAUAUGCAUGAUCCUCGAUCAGGUCAUCUAGAUGCAGUAAAUAGAAUUCUGCGGUAUCUCAAAGGUUGUCCUGGAAAAGGAAUUCUCCUUUCCAACCAUGGGCAUCUAGAAGUUGAGGGAUACACAGACGCUGAUUGGGCUGGGUGCUUGGAUGACAGGAGAUCCACUUCAGGUUAUUGCGUCUUCUUGGGAGGAAAUUUAGUCAGUUGGAGGAGUAAGAAGCAAAGUGUUGUCGCCAGAUCCACGGCAGAAGCAGAGCUGCGAUCCAUGGCUUCAGGGCUAUGUGAGUUGUUAUGGCUUCGAUUAUUAUUAACUGAACUUCGGUUGUUUAAAGGAGGACCACUCAGGCUCCAUUGUGAUAAUCAAGCCGCAAUCAACAUUGUCAACAAUCCGGUUCAGCAUGAUAGAACAAAACAUAUCGAAAUUGAUAGACAUUUUAUUAAGGAGAAACUUGAUGAGGGAGUACUUCAAGUAGGUUUUGUUAAAACCGGAGACCAACUUGCUGAUGUAUUAACAAAGGGCGUGAGUGUUGUAUCCUUCUUUAAGUUGUGUGGCAAGAUGGGGCUCUUAGACAUUUUCACCCCAUCUUGA
This 1377-nucleotide ribosomal RNA is filed under the name Triticum aestivum (bread wheat). Its description in RNAcentral is "partial small subunit ribosomal RNA". The record is from RNAcentral. Lineage: Eukaryota; Viridiplantae; Streptophyta; Magnoliopsida; Poales; Poaceae.